UGGGGAAUUUUGGACAAUGGGCGCAAGCCUGAUCCAGCAAUGCCGCGUGCAGGAUGAAGGCCUUCGGGUUGUAAACUUCUUUUAUAUGGGACGAAAAAGGGUCUUUCUAGAUCAACUGACGGUACCAUGUGAAUAAGCACCGGCUAACUCCGUGCCAGCAGCCGCGGUAAUACGUAGGGUGCGAGCGUUAAUCGGAAUUACUGGGCGUAAAGCGUGCGCAGGCGGUUAUAUAAGACAGAUGUGAAAUCCCCGGGCUCAACCUGGGACCUGCAUUUGUGACUGUAUAGCUAGAGUACGGUAGAGGGGGAUGGAAUUCCGCGUGUAGCAGUGAAAUGCGUAGAUAUGCGGAGGAACACCGAUGGCGAAGGCAAUCCCCUGGACCUGUACUGACGCUCAUGCACGAAAGCGUGGGGAGCAAACA
RNAcentral lists this ribosomal RNA (421 nucleotides) under uncultured bacterium. RNAcentral's name for it is "bacterial SSU rRNA". It matches the Rfam family "Bacterial small subunit ribosomal RNA", at positions 355 to 774 of the family's 1533-position model. The record is from RNAcentral.